RNAcentral lists this ribosomal RNA (355 nucleotides) under uncultured bacterium. RNAcentral describes it as "bacterial SSU rRNA". It matches the Rfam family "Bacterial small subunit ribosomal RNA", at positions 8 to 350 of the family's 1533-position model. The record is from RNAcentral.
AGAGUUUGAUCAUGGCUCAGGAUGAACGCUAGCUACAGGCUUAACACAUGCAAGUCGAGGGGAAACGACAUCGAAAGCUUGCUUUUGAUGGGCGUCGACCGGCGCACGGGUGAGUAACGCGUAUCCAACCUGCCCACCACUUGGGGAUAACCUUGCGAAAGUAAGACUAAUACCCAAUGACGUCUCUAGAAGACAUCUGAAGGAGAUUAAAGAUUUAUCGGUGAUGGAUGGGGAUGCGUCUGAUUAGCUUGGUUGGCGGGGUAACGGCCCACCAAGGCGACGGAUCGAGUAGGGGUUCUGAGAGGAGGUCCCCCANAUUGGAACUGAGACACGGUCCAAACUCCUACGGGAGGCA